AAAUGCAUAGAAUUAUUGCUGCGGUUAAAAAGCUCGUAGUUGGAUCUGUGCUGGGAACUGGGUCCGCCUUCGGGUGUGCACUCAGCUUCCCGGCUUUUUGCUGGUUUUCCCGUUGUGGCCUUUACCGGUUGCAGCGGGUGGCUGGCGAGUUUACCUUGAAGAAAUCAAAGUGCUUAAUACAGGCGAUUUGCUUGAAUGUGGUGCAUGGAAUAAUAGAAAAGGAUUUCGGUUCUCUUUUAUUGGUUUUACGAGCUGAGAUAAUGGUUAACAGAGACAAACGGGGGCAUUCGUAUCGUUGCGUGAGAGGUGAAAUUCUUGGACCGCAGCGAGACGAACUACAG
This 341-nucleotide ribosomal RNA is filed under the name Aphelenchus avenae. RNAcentral's name for it is "SSU rRNA". It matches the Rfam family "Eukaryotic small subunit ribosomal RNA", at positions 595 to 945 of the family's 1831-position model. Lineage: Eukaryota; Metazoa; Nematoda; Chromadorea; Rhabditida; Aphelenchidae. The record is from RNAcentral.